GUGCUUGCUUCAGCAGUGCAUAGACUAAAAUAGGAAUGAUACAGAGAAGAUUAGCAAGGCCCCUGCACAAGUGUGACACACAAAUUCAUGAAGAGUCCAUAUUUAU
Molecule: small nuclear RNA, 106 nt
Organism: Octodon degus (degu)
Lineage: Eukaryota; Metazoa; Chordata; Mammalia; Rodentia; Octodontidae
Source: Ensembl